CUGCCCCCAAAUGAAUCUUUGAGUCUCGACACAGUAGGUGGCCAUGGUCCCUUCUCUUGCUCAGAUGCCUGACUUCUGCUUCUAGGCAGAGGAAGAAGGGCUGAUGGGGAAACAGAGGCAGUGCAUGCAGGAAAGCCCACCCGGCCCCUCCCUGGGGAUCAAGGUGCUAGUGUUCGCCCAAGGCCCCCCACAGCUGACUACUGUCCUGGGUCCUGGGGAGCUGGCCUCUGCCCCAGCCCUCCUCCACCCUCCAUGAUGGUGCCAGGUAAGGCUUCGGGCAUGGCAGAGGCUGAACCGAGAGCCACCCCACCUUGUUCCUGUGGCUCCAUUACCACCCCCCCCAUCCACACCCAAGAGGUGAGAUCCUAGGGCAGCUGGCAUCUGACAGCCUGGCAUCGACUCCUGCCAACAGCUUGGAAGCUGCAGUAAUUAGAAGGGAAGAGGGGGGGGGGGGGGGAGAGGAGAGCGAAGGCAAGCUCCAGAGAGAGAGAGAGAAACCUUCUCCUGCCUGCCCCAGGGCAAACUACUUCAAACGAAUUCGUUUCGCUCUUGUGAAACUGAAGACAAUUUCCUUUUCUGUCAUAAAACAAAUUAUUGCUCAUCAGGA
Molecule: long non-coding RNA, 607 nt
Filed under: Lynx pardinus (Iberian lynx)
Lineage: Eukaryota; Metazoa; Chordata; Mammalia; Carnivora; Felidae
Source: RNAcentral